AAGUCGUAACAAGGUUUCCGUAGGUGAACCUGCGGAAGGAUCAUUAUAGUAUCUAGCCGAAGCCGUAAAAUAUGUGGCCCAAAAAGCCCCAAGCGGCCGGCAGUUUACGAUCAUCCACCAUGUGCAUUCAUCGAACCAUGCUUUGGCAGACUUCUCUUGCUCUCUUCUUUUUUUCUCCCAGCCAUCCUUCAGGGAGGUUGUGGAGCGUGGAGGAAGUUGGGCGAGGGUUCCUGCCAGGGUCUUCUUUGUUCAACUCAUAGCCUGAUCUCCUGACUGAACUACACAUAAUUUUGUAAUAAAAAUACAACUUUCAACAACGGAUCUCUUGGCUCUC
Molecule: unclassified non-coding RNA, 334 nt
Filed under: fungal sp.
Lineage: Eukaryota; Fungi
Description: partial internal transcribed spacer region
Rfam family: Eukaryotic small subunit ribosomal RNA (bases 1-46)
Source: RNAcentral